Molecule: ribosomal RNA, 253 nt
Filed under: uncultured bacterium
Lineage: Bacteria
Description: partial 16S ribosomal RNA
Rfam family: Bacterial small subunit ribosomal RNA
Source: RNAcentral
UACGGAGGGCGCAAGCGUUGUUCGGAAUUAUUGGGCGUAAAGCGGGUGUAGGCGGCUUGGCAAGUCGGGUGUGAAAUCCCUGGGCCCAACCCAGGAACUGCAUUCGAUACUGCCUCGCUAGAGUCCCGGAGAGGAUGGCGGAAUUCCAGGUGUAGAGGUGAAAUUCGUAGAUAUCUGGAGGAACACCAGCGGCGAAGGCGGCCAUCUGGACGGUGACUGACGCUCAGACCCGAAAGCGUGGGGAGCAAACAGG